UCAAAACAAAGAUGGUUCCCAAGUGAAAAAGUUGUUUCUCCCUUCAAAGUCUUGAAAAAUUCGGAAAUUUUGCAUGAAAAGUGCUGCAAUAAUGGUGGAAAAUAACCGGAAUCGAUGCCCGUCGGUGAACCUCAUCGCUUCCGGUUUGAUUUUGUUGGUUUGCUGCGUUUUACAAACUACAAAUGCGGGUCAGCUGCACAAGAAUCUGAAGCACUACGAAACGUUGCACGCGGACCAGCUGACCCAUCGGAUCACGAAGCGCGGGGCGAAACCGAGCAGUCAUCCGUUCAACACGAUCAAGGAGGUGGAGUUCAAGGUGUUGGGACGGAACUUUCGAUUGAUAUUGCAUCCCCACAAGGACGUUCUGCACAGCAACUUCCGGGCGUACUCGGUGGACGGAAGCGGGGCGGAAUCGAUCGUGCACCUGGACCAUGAUAACUUCCUGAGGGGUCGCGUCUUUGGGGAGGUUCACUCGCAGGUUAAUGCUCACUUGGAGGAUGGGAUUCUGACGGCUUCGGUGUUCCUUCCGGACGAGACGUACCACAUUGAACCAUCGUGGCGGCAUUUGGACCACCUGAGUGAUCGGCACAUGAUUGCGUACAAGGCGUCCGAUAUCAAGUUUAGCUGGGACCAGGUUGAUGCCGUCGGUGGUGAGAUGGGUGGAGUGCCGAAGACUUGCGGUUACGUGAAGGAGGGCUUGGAACUGGAAGCGAAUGACGACGACGAUGAUGACGAUGGCGAUGAGGAGGAGGAUGGGGUGCGUCCAGAUCCGGAUGAUAUUCCGUCGGUUUGGACCGCGGCCACGGUGUCGGCGGCCGAGCUGAAGUCCCGCAAGAAACGACAGGCCGACCAGUACGAGUACACUCCGACGAAGACGCGCUGUCCGCUGCUGCUCGUUGCGGAUUACAGAUUCUUCCAGGAAAUGGGCGGAAGCAACACCAAAACAACCAUCAACUAUUUGAUCAGUCUCAUCGAUCGGGUGCACAAAAUCUACAACGACACGAUCUGGCAGGACCGCACCGAUCAGGAGGGCUUCAAGGGUAUGGGCUUCGUCAUAAAGAAGAUCGUGGUGCACUCGGAACCGACGCGGGUUCGCGGCGGUGAGGCGCACUACAACAUGGUGCGCGAAAAGUGGGACGUGCGGAACCUGCUGGAGGUAUUCUCCCGCGAGUACAGCCACAAAGACUUUUGUCUGGCGCACCUGUUCACCGACCUCAAGUUCGAGGGUGGCAUUCUAGGUCUGGCGUACGUGGGCUCUCCCCGGCGCAACUCCGUCGGCGGCAUCUGCACACCAGAAUACUUCAAGAACGGUUACACGCUGUACCUCAACUCGGGGCUGAGUAGUUCGCGGAACCACUACGGCCAGCGGGUCAUCACGCGGGAGGCGGAUCUCGUGACGGCGCACGAGUUUGGCCACAACUGGGGCUCGGAGCACGAUCCGGACAUUCCGGAGUGUUCACCGUCGGCGUCGCAGGGUGGUAGCUUCCUGAUGUACACCUACUCGGUCAGCGGGUACGACGUGAACAAUAAAAAGUUCUCGCCCUGUUCGCUGCGCUCGAUCCGGAAGGUGCUGCAGGCCAAGUCGGGCCGGUGCUUUUCCGAACCGGAGGAGUCGUUCUGUGGGAAUUUGCGCGUUGAGGGGGACGAACAGUGCGACGCUGGGUUGCUGGGAACGGAGGACAACGAUGCUUGCUGCGAUAAGAACUGCAAGCUGAGACGGAACCAGGGCGCGGUUUGCAGUGACAAGAACUCGCCGUGCUGUCAGAACUGUCAGUUUAUGAUGGCCGGGGUCAAGUGUCGUGAGGCGCAGUACGCCACGUGUGAGCAGGAGGCACGAUGCAGCGGUAAUCACGCCGAUUGUCCGAAAAGUCCGCCGAUGGGCGACGGGACCAUGUGCCAGGAGCGGGGACAGUGUCGCAACGGGAAGUGCAUUCCGUACUGCGAGACGCAGGGUCUGCAGAGCUGCAUGUGCGACACGAUGACGGAUGCGUGCAAGCGGUGCUGCCGGCAGAGCAUCAACGAGACGUGCUUCCCGGUGGAACCGCCGGAUGUGCUUCCGGACGGGACGCCCUGCAUCCAGGGCUUCUGCAACAAGGGAAUGUGCGAGAAAACCAUCCAGGACGUGGUCGAGCGGUUCUGGGAUAUCAUCGAGGAGAUCAACAUCAACAAGGUGUUGCGGUUUCUGCGGGACAACAUCGUCAGUAAGUAGAAUCGGUUUAUGUCCACUCGGAUAUCGAUGCAUCUGUGCUCUCUUGUACUAACUAGCAAGCUUGAAGGAACCGAAAAGUUUGGUUAUGUCAAAUGACAAUGCGUUACCUCACUCUUGAUUUACAUUGAACUGACUUGAUCCAAGGGCCUGUUCAAGGUUAAUCAAACGUCAGGUAACCUAAAGGCAACUGUCAAAUUAAACACGUUGAAAACGAUAAUGACACAAUUUCGCAACUUCUAGUGGCAGUGGUGAUGCUUACGGCCCUGUUCUGGAUUCCGGUCAGCUGCAUCAUAUCGUACUUUGACCGGAAGAAGCGAAAGGAGGACUGGAAAGAGUACGAGUGGAGCCAGAAGCUGGACCUGAUCCACCCGAGCGAUCGUCGCC
RNA transcript from Culex quinquefasciatus (southern house mosquito), 2593 nucleotides. It is a transcript of the gene named ADAM 17-like protease, with no coding region annotated. The transcript has 5 exons. The record is from RefSeq and is a predicted model, not a curated record. Lineage: Eukaryota; Metazoa; Arthropoda; Insecta; Diptera; Culicidae.